This is a long non-coding RNA of Prinia subflava (tawny-flanked prinia), 845 nucleotides long. RefSeq lists it as uncharacterized. The transcript is spliced from 3 exons. The record is from RefSeq and is a predicted model, not a curated record. NCBI's taxonomy places the organism in Eukaryota, Metazoa, Chordata, Aves, Passeriformes, Cisticolidae.
UCCUUUUUCUCCCUGAAAUGAGGAGCAACCUGAUUAACCCUGAGCCCUCUUAGAUCCUAAAAUUCAGCAAUCUAACCUUACACCCCUUAAAAUUUUGCUUCAGUGUUGGUCAAGGACUUAAAAAGAAUGGGGACUUGUGACAAAGCUCCCAAUAUUUAUGAUGGGACCAGAAUGUUAUCCAAAAAGGUUGAAAAUGCUGCAAUCAUUUGGUGCAUCGUUCACUAAUAUUAGCCAUUUUGAGCAGUCAGAGACCUCACUGAGGUUUGCUUCUGCAGUCCAUUCAGUAAUCACAACACAAGGGCUAGUGGGCACCAACUCACACUGGCAUUUUCAAGGCAAUAUGACAGCUGAGGACCCACAGUGCUUGAACAGUGUGGAACAGGGCAUCACAAUGGUCUCCUUCCUCAGAAAAGGCACAGCUGAGCAGCAGAACACUGCAAUCUUCCCCCCCAGAUCUUGGACCAGAGAAGAAACCACAUCACUGCACCUCAGCUGGGGACAUUCUGCACCUCGUGGCAUAUGGUAGACCAUGACAUUGUCUUAAAAGUUGGAAAAAUAAUACUUGAAAAGUCUCUACCCCCUAUGGGACUUGGGGAACACUAAACCAUGUCCAAGUUCUCACCUCAGGUGAAGCCUUUGGUGCUCAGACUCUUUGUAGUGAACUUGUGCUAGGCAGCUCACAUGCCAGGCUUUUUUUACCUACUUGUCUAGAAUAGUAUAAUAAUGUUUAAAGAGCAGCACAGUUGGCUGCAGCUGGCCAGUAACUCAGCUUUAUGGUAUCUGAGCAGAAAAUUGAGUGAGGCAGGGAAUCAGGGUGUACUAGCACAUACACAUAACAUAUUUCA